GACGAACGCUGGCGGCGUGCUUAACACAUGCAAGUCGAACGGAAAGGCCCUGCUUUUGUGGGGUGCUCGAGUGGCGAACGGGUGAGUAACACGUGAGUACCUGCCCUUGACUUUUGGUUAACUUUAGGGAACUGGGGCUUAUACCCGAUAGGAGCUCCUUCUGCCUGGUGGGGGUUUGAAAGUUUCGGCCGUUGGGGAUGGAAUCGCGGCCUUUCAGCUUGUUGGUGGGGUAGUGGCUUACCAAGGCGUUGACGGGUAGCCGGCCUGAGAGGGUGAACGGCCACAUUGGGACUGAGAUACGGCCCAGACUCCUACGGGAGGCAGCAGUGGGGAAUAUUGCACAAUGGGCGGAAGCCUGAUGCAGAAACGCCGCGUGCGGGAUGACGGCCUUCGGGUUGUAAACCGCUUUCGCCUGUGACGAAGCGUGAGUGACGGUAAUGGGUAAAGAAGCACCGGCUAACUACGUG
This 467-nucleotide ribosomal RNA is filed under the name uncultured bacterium. Its description in RNAcentral is "partial 16S ribosomal RNA". It matches the Rfam family "Bacterial small subunit ribosomal RNA", at positions 28 to 507 of the family's 1533-position model. The record is from RNAcentral.